Molecule: unclassified non-coding RNA, 336 nt
Filed under: soil metagenome
Description: partial contains 5.8S ribosomal RNA, internal transcribed spacer 2, and large subunit ribosomal RNA
Rfam family: 5.8S ribosomal RNA (bases 1-120)
Source: RNAcentral
GAUGAAGAACGCAGCGAAAUGCGAUAAGUAGUGUGAAUUGCAGAAUUCAGUGAAUCAUCGAAUCUUUGAACGCUCAUUGCGGCCCUUGGUAUUCCAUGGGGCAUGCCUGUUCGAGCGUCAUUUGUACCUUCAAGCUUUGCUUGGUGUUGGGUGUUUGUCUCGCCUUUGCGUGUAGACUCGCCUUAAAAUAAUUGGCAGCCGGCGUAUUGAUUUCGGAGCGCAGUACAUCUCGCGCUUUGCACUCAUAACGACAGCGUCCAAAAGUACAUUUUACACUCUUGACCUCGGAUCAGGUAGGGAUACCCGCUGAACUUAAGCAUAUCAAUAAGCGGAGGA